Molecule: ribosomal RNA, 1468 nt
Filed under: human oral metagenome
Description: bacterial LSU rRNA
Rfam family: Bacterial large subunit ribosomal RNA
Source: RNAcentral
UGAAAUAGAACCUGAAACCUUAUGCCUACAAGCAGAUAGAGUCUUAAGAGAGAUGAUAUCGUACUUUUUGUAGAACGGGCCAGCGAGUUAUGGUGUGCGGCAAGGUUAAGUAAUGAAGUUACGGAGCCGUAGGGAAACCGAGUCUGAAUAGGGCGAGAUAGUCGUAUGCCAUAGACCCGAAACCAGGUGAUCUAUCCAUGAGCAGGUUGAAGUGAAAGUAAAAUUUCAUGGAGGACCGAACCGGGUAGCGUUUAAAAGCUAUCGGAUGACUUGUGGAUAGGGGUGAAAAGCCAAUCGAACUUGGAGAUAGCUGGUUCUCCUCGAAAUAGCUUUAGGGCUAGCCUCAAUUUAGUUUACAGGGGGUAGAGCACUGAAUACCGUAGGGGUGUUAGACAUUACCGAAAGUUAUCAAACUGCGAAUACCUGAUAAAUGAUGAUUGGGAGUCAGACUAUGUGGGAUAAGCUUCAUAGUCAAAAGGGAAAGAGCCCAGACCACCAGCUAAGGUCCCUAAAUAUAGAUUAAGUGGUAAAGGAUGUUUUACUACUUAGACAACCAGGAUGUUGGCUUAGAAGCAGCCAUACAUUUAAAGAGUGCGUAAUAGCUCACUGGUCAAGUGGUAGAGCGCCGAAAAUGAACGGGGCUAAAAUCUAAUACCGAAGCUGUGGACUAAUGAAAAUUAGUGGUAGAGGAGCAUUGUGUAAGGGGCGAAGCUAAGUUGUAAGACGAAGUGGACUUUACAGAAGAGAGAAUGCUGGCAUGAGUAGCGAAAAGGAGGGUGAGAAUCCCUCCCGUCGAAAGCCUAAGGAUUCCUGAGGAAGGCUCGUCCUCUCAGGGUAAGUCGGGACCUAAGCCCAGGCUGAAAAGCGUAAGCGAUGGACAACAGGUUGAGAUUCCUGUACUAUCUUUGAAUGUUUGAGAGAUGUACUGACGCAGGAGGAUAUGUUGAGCGUGUGAAUGGUAGAGCACGUCUAAGCAAGUAGGUAGAGAAUAGAGGCAAAUCCCUAUUUUUAAUAUCGAGAUGCGAUGGGGAGCGAAAAAUAAGUAGUGAAGCAACAGAUUCCAAACUGCCAAGAAAAGGUACUAUUGAGUGAGAAGAUACCCGUACCAAAACCGACACAGGUAGGCAAGGAGAGAAUCCUAAGACGCGCGGAAGAACCUUUGUUAAGGAACUCGGCAAAAUGACCCCGUAACUUCGGGAGAAGGGGUACCAUUAGAUGUGAGAUACUUUCGUAUGGAGCAUAGAGUGGUCGCAGAGAAUAGGCCCAAGCAACUGUUUACCAAAAACACAAGUCUCUGCUAAAUCGAAAGAUGAAGUAUAGGGGCUGACACCUGCCCGGUGCUGGAAGGUUAAGGGGAAAUGUUAGAGCAAUCGAAGCAUAGAACUUAAGCCCCAGUAAACGGCGGCCGUAACUAUAACGGUCCUAAGGUAGCGAAAUUCCUUGUCGGGUAAGUUCCGACCCGCACGAA